This 307-nucleotide unclassified non-coding RNA is filed under the name Neodevriesia sp. RNAcentral describes it as "partial contains 5.8S ribosomal RNA, internal transcribed spacer 2, and large subunit ribosomal RNA". The stretch from base 1 to 71 matches the Rfam family "5.8S ribosomal RNA", at positions 84 to 154 of the family's 154-position model. The record is from RNAcentral. Lineage: Eukaryota; Fungi; Ascomycota; Dothideomycetes; Mycosphaerellales; Neodevriesiaceae.
GUGAGUCAUCGAAUCUUUGAACGCACAUUGCGCCCUUUGGCAUUCCGAAGGGCAUGCCCGUUCGAGCGUCAUAAGACCAACUCAAGCUCAGCUUGGUAUUGGGUGUCGGGGGAGUUUCCUCCCCCGCACCUCGAUGUCGCCGGCUGGACGUUCCGUAUCUCAGCGUUGUGGUGUCAAAACCCGCUGACGAGGCCGGACGUCGCACGCCGUCAAAACGCUGGCUCCCAUCACAAGGGGGGCCUGUCAAGGUUGACCUCGGAUCGGGUAGGGAUACCCGCUGAACUUAAGCAUAUCAAUAAGCGGAGGA